RNAcentral lists this small nuclear RNA (107 nucleotides) under Procavia capensis (Cape rock hyrax). Lineage: Eukaryota; Metazoa; Chordata; Mammalia; Hyracoidea; Procaviidae. The record is from RNAcentral.
GUGCUCGCUUCGGCAGCACAUACACUAAAAUUGGAAUGGUUCGGAGAAGAUUAGCGUGGCACCUGUUCAGGGACGACAUGCAAAUUCAUGAAGCAUUGCAUGUUAAA